RNAcentral lists this ribosomal RNA (254 nucleotides) under uncultured bacterium. Its description in RNAcentral is "partial 16S ribosomal RNA". It matches the Rfam family "Bacterial small subunit ribosomal RNA", at positions 524 to 776 of the family's 1533-position model. The record is from RNAcentral.
UACGUAGGGGGCAAGCGUUGUCCGGAUUUAUUGGGCGUAAAGAGCGUGUAGGCGGCCUGAAAGGUCAGCUGUGAAAACUCGAGGCUCAACCUCGAGACGUCGGUUGAAACCAUCUGGCUAGAGUCCGGAAGAGGAGAGUGGAAUUCCCGGUGUAGCGGUGAAAUGCGCAGAUAUCGGGAAGAACACCCGUGGCGAAGGCGGCUCUCUGGGACGGUACUGACGCUGAGACGGCGAAAGCGUGGGGAGCGAACAGG